UACGUAGGUGGCAAGCGUUGUCCGGAAUUAUUGGGCGUAAAGAGCUCGUAGGCGGUUUGUCGCGUCUGCUGUGAAAUCCUCAGGCUCAACUUGGGGCGUGCAGUGGGUACGGGCAGACUAGAGUGCGGUAGGGGAGACUGGAAUUCCUGGUGUAGCGGUGGAAUGCGCAGAUAUCAGGAGGAACACCGAUGGCGAAGGCAGGUCUCUGGGCCGUUACUGACGCUGAGGAGCGAAAGCAUGGGGAGCGAACAGG
RNAcentral lists this ribosomal RNA (253 nucleotides) under uncultured bacterium. RNAcentral's name for it is "partial 16S ribosomal RNA". It matches the Rfam family "Bacterial small subunit ribosomal RNA", at positions 524 to 776 of the family's 1533-position model. The record is from RNAcentral.